This 254-nucleotide ribosomal RNA is filed under the name uncultured bacterium. Its description in RNAcentral is "partial 16S ribosomal RNA". It matches the Rfam family "Bacterial small subunit ribosomal RNA", at positions 524 to 776 of the family's 1533-position model. The record is from RNAcentral.
UACGUAGGGGGCGAGCGUUGUCCGGAUUUAUUGGGCGUAAAGAGCUCGUAGGCGGUUUGGCAAGUCGGGGGUGAAAACUCCGGGCUCAACUCGGAGACGCCACUCGAUACUGCCAUGACUCGAGUCCGGUAGGGGAGUGCGGAAUUCCUGGUGUAGCGGUGAAAUGCGUAGAUAUCUGGAGGAACACCGGUGGCGAAGGCGGCAUCCUGGACCGACACUGACGCUGAUGAGCGAAAGCCAGGGGAGCAAACGGG